AACGAACGCUGGCGGCAUGCCUAACACAUGCAAGUCGAACGAGAUCUUCGGGUCUAGUGGCGCACGGGUGCGUAACGCGUGGGAAUCUGCCCUUUGGUUCGGAAUAACAGCUGGAAACGACUGCUAAUACCGGACGAUGACGAAAGUCCAAAGAUUUAUCGCCAGAGGAUGAGCCCGCGUAGGAUUAGCUAGUUGGUGUGGUAAAGGCGCACCAAGGCGACGAUCCUUAGCUGGUCUGAGAGGAUGAUCAGCCACACUGGGACUGAGACACGGCCCAGACUCCUACGGGAGGCAGCAGUGGGGAAUAUUGGACAAUGGGCGAAAGCCUGAUCCAGCAAUGCCGCGUGAGUGAUGAAGGCCUUAGGGUUGUAAAGCUCUUUUACCCGGGAUGAUAAUGACAGUACCGGGAGAAUAAGCUCCGGCUAACUCCGUGCCAGCCGCCGCAGUAA
RNAcentral lists this ribosomal RNA (449 nucleotides) under uncultured bacterium. RNAcentral's name for it is "partial 16S ribosomal RNA". It matches the Rfam family "Bacterial small subunit ribosomal RNA", at positions 29 to 523 of the family's 1533-position model. The record is from RNAcentral.